Molecule: long non-coding RNA, 398 nt
Filed under: Salmo salar (Atlantic salmon)
Lineage: Eukaryota; Metazoa; Chordata; Actinopteri; Salmoniformes; Salmonidae
Description: lncRNA (ENSSSAG00000111249.1)
Source: RNAcentral
CUCCAGGUUGGUAAUGGGCUACCAUAUCCUCCAGGUUGGUAAUGGGCUACCAUAUCCUCCAGGUUGGUAAUGGGCUACCAUAUCCUCCAGGUUGGUAAUGGGCUACCAUAUCCUCCAGGUUGGUAUCAUAUCCUCCAGGUUGGUAAUGGGCUACCAUAUCCUCCAGGUUGGUACCAUAUCCUCCAGGUUGGUAAUGGGCUACCAUAUCCUCCAGGUUGGUAAUGGGCUACCAUAUCCUCCAGGUUGGUAAUGGGCUAUCAUAUCCUCCAGGUUGGUAAUGGGCUACCAUAUCCUCCAGGUUGGUAAUGGGCUACCAUAUCCUCCAGGUUGGUAAUGGGCUACCAUAUCCUCCAGGUUGGUAAUGGGCUACCAUAUCCUCCAGGUUGGUAAUGGGCUAC